CAGGGAGACAACAAAAUGUUAAAUAUUAAUUUUGUCACCUUAGGUCGAUCGGUACCUCACAUUCUUAAUUCAUUUAAGAAUUUUUUUUCCUAAGUUUUUCUAGGUCACACCCAUUAUUUUUCCUGGGCCAUUAGCUCAGGUGGUUAGAGCGCACCCCUGAUAAGGGUGAGGUCCCUGGUUCAAGUCCAGGAUGGCCCAUAUCUCUAUGUUGGGGGUAUAGCUCAGUUGGUAGAGCGCCUGCUUUGCAAGCAGGAUGUCAGCGGUUCGAGUCCGCUUACCUCCACUGAUUACCACCUCUUCCAUAAUUUAUAGAAGGGAAAUUUUGAGUUGUGAUCUAAUUCUGAACGAAUCUAGCUUCCUAAUUCAGACUGUUAAGAUGCUGGACUCAUUGAAUUAAUUUCAUUGUUUUCAGAGAACCUUGACAACUGCAUAGAUUAUUUUUAAAGACAAUAAGCAUCUUUAAUGAUGCAGAUUUAUUAUUUGUGCGAAUGCAUUAAUAACAAUUCUAUUAAGCUGAUGCUUCAA
Molecule: transfer RNA, 525 nt
Filed under: uncultured Prochlorococcus sp.
Lineage: Bacteria; Bacillati; Cyanobacteriota; Cyanophyceae; Synechococcales; Prochlorococcaceae
Description: partial 16S-23S ribosomal RNA intergenic spacer
Rfam family: tRNA (bases 211-283)
Source: RNAcentral